GUAUUAUUAUUAUCAUUACAGUGUAUUGCUAUUACCACCUAUGAGCCAUUAUAGUAUUGUUAUUAUCAUCAACAAAUAUGCACUCUUCAUCAGGAAUCUGAGUUACAUACAAAUCCAACCUGAAAACCUUCUCAGAAAUGUAUCUCCUCCAUAACCCCGGGGACCGCCUGUACAUACGCAUGAAUAUUUGAAGAUUAACUAGGUCAUUACUUGUAGAGUAGUUGUAGCUAUUUGAUGCAAAAAGUAAAUUAUACAUCAUGUCUAACUAUGACCAUUUUUCCCUAUAGCCCAAGUCAAGAGGAAUUGACCAGAGGAAAUAGUCAUAGAGCCAGCAGAGAAAUCAUAUCAGAACAACUCACCGGAGUUGAAAAUGGUCAAGGAGACAGCACUGAUUUGAACAACUCAGAUAGGUAAGUCAGUUUGAAGUAUGGAAGUAGGGAGCCUUUGAUGGAUCUCUUUGGGAAAACAGGAUUUGUGCUAAGGCAAGAAAGAAAAAGGAAAACUAUAGAAAGAUAUAAAUAUGUAUGGGAGAGAGAGCACACAGUAUUUACUCCAAUGAAAUGGGCAGACAAAUACUAUGUUGGAAAAAAAAUUACAUCUGUUCAGAAGUAAAUGUUCUUCUAGGUUGAAAAUGUGAAAAAUAUCCAUAGAAGAGAGUAAUUUUAUUAAAAUUUCUUUCUUAACAAAGGAAUCUAGAAUCCUACUUACCCUUAAAUCAUUGUCCUUUCUCAUUUUUCCUGGAUACUAUCCAGUUCCUGGUUUUGUAGAUCUUGCUAUGAGCGCAUGGGACCGAUAGGAAAGGUGAACAUGUUUUGCUAACUAAAAGCCUCUUUGUGCUCACUGGGAUUUUAUUAAUUUUGAUUUGUUUCUCAGUAAUCUCACUUGGAGUACUUCCUAUUGCA
Molecule: long non-coding RNA, 902 nt
Filed under: Microcebus murinus (gray mouse lemur)
Lineage: Eukaryota; Metazoa; Chordata; Mammalia; Primates; Cheirogaleidae
Description: lncRNA (ENSMICG00000048723.1)
Source: RNAcentral